CUUUCCCCAGCGCCUGGCCACGCUCCAGCUCCGCGCCUCCCGCUUUCAAGGUCACUUCAGUCUCCCCGAAGCCCGCCCGGCACGGCUCGGAGGCCGCGCACUGCAGCGAACAAACCUCAGCCUGGAGGAUGAGGAUGAGGAGGGACGCAAAAGGCCCACUAGGGAGCUCCAUGGCUGGAUAAAAGAGGAGAAGAACCUAGCACGAAGGCUGGCUCGUGCUCAGCUAGAAUCUCCGCGCCCCUUUGAGCACCACGGUUAGCCAGCGCUAGCAGGAGGCGGCCAGGUGAGCGCAGGGACUCAGCUCUUGUCUCGAAAGUUCUGGGUUCGAGGGGGAAAAUGCCCCAACUCCUCAGCCCCACAGCACCAGAAGAGAAAUGUGUCUGCCUUGCAGUUACAGCGGGAAGGAUGCAUCUGAACCCGCCUGAAACAGAGGCUCCCUAUUCAUGCUCCCCGGAGUUCCUCUCACGCCCCAAAGCUUUGAUGGAGGCCGGUGUGCCCUCCCACACCCGGCUACUGCCGGGGCCGACCUCUGCCUCUUUCUCCACCUCCGGUGCCAGCCGGCAGGAAGGAUCAGGAGUUGAAAACUAGCAGUGAGGGCCCGAGGGACCGCCUUACAGAAUCUGAAACAACUCGCCUGCGAAUCAUGACUUUCCUUCUACAGAACAGCCUUCCGGUGAUUCUCUCCCUUGGAAAACAGCUCUCCUGCACCCUUCCUGGGAGAUAAACGACGCAGCCGGGAUUCGUUCCUCUUCUGUACCCUCAUCCCACUACUGUUGGACAAGAAGCGCUGUCUCUUCGCCGCACGCGACUGGUUCCAGGGCACAGAAACGGCCCGUGGUCAGCGAUGGGCUGCGCCGCGCUGCGACCGCGGGAGUCUUUCUCUCCCUAUCCAGCAUCGGCUCUGCGUUCAAACCCGAGUCGCCCACUUGCUAGCGCGGAAGCCUCAGGCAAAUGAAGUAGCCCCUGUGGGUCUCUCGGCUCUGUCUGUCCACUGGGGUUAUUAAGACAUCUACCCUCGGCGCCUGUGGCUCAAGCGGCUAAGGCGCC
Long non-coding RNA from Nycticebus coucang (slow loris), 1047 nucleotides. RefSeq lists it as uncharacterized. The record is from RefSeq and is a predicted model, not a curated record. Lineage: Eukaryota; Metazoa; Chordata; Mammalia; Primates; Lorisidae. The transcript has 5 exons.